GACGAACGCUGGCGGCGUGCCUAAUACAUGCAAGUUGAGCGAUGAAGAUUGGUGCUUGCACCAAUUUGAAGAGCAGCGAACGGGUGAGUAACGCGUGGGGAAUCUGCCUUUGAGCGGGGGACAACACUUGGAAACGAAUGCUAAUACCGCAUAACAACUUUAAACAUAAGUUUUAAGUUUGAAAGAUGCAAUUGCAUCACUCAAAGAUGAUCCCGCGUUGUAUUAGCUAGUUGGUGAGGUAAAGGCUCACCAAGGCGAUGAUACAUAGCCGACCUGAGAGGGUGAUCGGCCACAUUGGGACUGAGACACGGCCCAAACUCCUACGGGAGGCAGCAGUAGGGAAUCUUCGGCAAUGGACGAAAGUCUGACCGAGCAACGCCGCGUGAGUGAAGAAGGUUUUCGGAUCGUAAAACUCUGUUGGUAGAGAAGAACGUUGGUGAGAGUGGAAAGCUCAUCAAGUGACGGUAACUACCCAGAAAGGGACGGCUAACUACGUG
Molecule: ribosomal RNA, 497 nt
Filed under: uncultured bacterium
Lineage: Bacteria
Description: partial 16S ribosomal RNA
Rfam family: Bacterial small subunit ribosomal RNA
Source: RNAcentral